AUUUAUAUUUGGUUUAAAUUUUUUAAUCUAGUUUUUAUUUAAUGUUACUUUAAUUUUUUUUUUUUUUUUUUUUUAUAUUAUUUUUAUUUAAUUCAUUAUGCUAUAUUUGUUUUAUUGUAUUAGAUAUAUAUGUACAGUUUUUGUGUUCAAGUAUAUAGACAUAGAUGUUUAUUCGUUAAGCUUUAAAUCUCAUUCUGGUUCAUUGUUUGUUGAUGUACUUAUGCUGCUGUGCUGUGAUGUCCUGUGCUUUUGCUCCUGUUUUUAUUUUUAUAUUAUGAUUCACCCCAUAUAAAUAUUUAUACAUUUUUAGAAAUUUUUUUUAUAAAUUUUUUUUUUAAUUAAGAGCUAUAUUUUUGUUAAUAAUCAUAUUUAUAUGUAACACGUGCAGUGUGAUUUUUUUAUAUUGUUAAAAAUAUAUUUAAAUAUUUAUGCAUAUAUAUAUAUAUAUAUAUAUAUAUAUAUAUGUACAUCUGUGUAAGUAUUUUUUAACGAAUAUUAUUUGAUUAUCUUUGUCUACUAAAGUUUUUUAUUUUUUAUGGUGUAUUUUUUAUUGUUUAUUUUUUAUUGUGUAUUUUUUAUUGUGUAUUUUUUAUUGUGUAUUUUUUAUUGUUCAUUGUUUGUUGUUCAUUUUUUGUUGUUCAUUUUUUAUUGUUCAUUUUUUUUAUAUUUAACAUGAACUAUAAAAAAUAUUGUUUAUGUGUGUGUAUGUUUAUGUGAAUGUAAUAGCACAAGUACAUGCAUAUGGUGUUAUAUAUAUGUAUAUAUUUUAAGUAAUUUGUAGAAACAUAUAUAUAUAUAUAUAUAUAUAUAUAUAUAUAUAUAUAGCUUUAAUUAAUUCAUUUUUGUUUGAAAUAACCCAAAAUAAUGCCAUUUUUAACCAUAUGUAUCUAUAAAUCUAUUAACUAACGUAGAGGAAAAUAAUGAUUACUAGUUUAUUCUUUUUAUUCAUAUUCAUUUAUCACUUUAAACAUGUUGCACUUACAAAAAACAAUCCUGGAGAGCAACCAGAACCACAGUUUGUAGAUAACACACCCCUAAUUGAUGAAGAAUGGAGACUUUAUCCGUUGGCAACAAAUCCUUUUAUGGAUUUACAACAUCCCAAUAUGAUAGGGGAUUUUGUAAGAUGUGUUGACGAAUAUUAUGUUUUUGAAACAAAAAAAAUAUAAUAAAUAUAAAAAAGAAAGAUAUCGUAAAAUAAAAGAAAAUAAACAAUUUCCA
RNAcentral lists this long non-coding RNA (1218 nucleotides) under Piliocolobus tephrosceles (Ugandan red Colobus). RNAcentral describes it as "lncRNA (ENSPTEG00000012771.1)". Lineage: Eukaryota; Metazoa; Chordata; Mammalia; Primates; Cercopithecidae. The record is from RNAcentral.